GCCUGGGUGGCUCAGUCGGUUGAGCAUCUGACUUCGGCUCAGGUCAUGAUCUCACAGUCUGUGAGUUCGAGCCCCACAUCAGGCU
This 85-nucleotide transfer RNA is filed under the name Felis catus (domestic cat). It matches the Rfam family "tRNA". From Rfam's summary of the family: Transfer RNA (tRNA) molecules are approximately 80 nucleotides in length. Their secondary structure includes four short double-helical elements and three loops (D, anti-codon, and T loops). RNAcentral also lists the same sequence under 2 other names. The record is from Rfam by way of RNAcentral. Lineage: Eukaryota; Metazoa; Chordata; Mammalia; Carnivora; Felidae.